This is a long non-coding RNA of Stegodyphus dumicola, 1031 nucleotides long. NCBI's taxonomy places the organism in Eukaryota, Metazoa, Arthropoda, Arachnida, Araneae, Eresidae. The record is from RefSeq and is a predicted model, not a curated record.
UUCUGUAAUUUUUGUUAUAGUGUUUCUGAACUCAAGUUCCUGUUACAACAACAACAUAAACGUACGACAAAACUGCGUAAAAAAGUAUUCCAAAAGUUCAAAGGAGGAUGCAAAGACACUUUGCUGCCGGAAUCUGGACAUUCAAAAGUGUCUCAAAAAGGAAAUGAAUGUGUGCCCUAAAAAUAACACAGAUUUCCAGAACGAAGUCAUCGAUGCUUAUACAAGCCCUCACAAUGUUCUCUGCGCUAACUACACCAAGCUCUGCAACAGUGCAUCUGUACAUAUUGCGUCAGCAAUAGUUUUGCUCCUCACUAUUAAAGUAACCUUUAUGAAUACUGUUCCAUGAAAGGAAGAAUGGGCAUUUCAUACACUGAGAACCGAUUAUCAAAGCAGCAAAUGCUAGAUAAGAAUUUAGUUUUUCUAGCAAAAAAUCGAACUAAUGAAUUAUACAUAAAAACAAAUGAAAUUCAAAUUGUUCCUGCUUAAUAAUGCGAAUUAAUUAUAUAUAUUAUUAGAUGACUGCAUUUAAAGGUCCAUAUAAAUUAUCUUUUCUUUUAUCUUCAUAUUAAUAUAUGUUCGAUCUUGCUGAAGAAAGAAGGAAGUAUGUAGGCAUAAUCAUUGUAAAUGUUAUAACUUUAAUUCAUUUUGAUUAUAAAUUGUUGUAAAAUUCAGAUCCUAAUGGUAAUUAAACUGUUGAUUUCGAACAAAACGUACAAACUAUCAUUUCGUUUUUCUUAAAAUUUCUGAAUGAAAUUCACUCGACCUUUCAGAUUUGGAAACUAAUAUUUUGCUAUUUUAUUCAAAGUAAAGUACUGCAUAUAUCUGAACACUUCAAAUAAAAGAAUAAGUUUAAGAAAAUAUAAGUUAAGAAAUUUCGCAGUAAAUGAUAUGCAUGAGGUAUGUCUUUUUUUAUUUUUGUACCUUGUACAUAUAUUAUUGUUUUGAAUUCAUCAGUUGUUCAGACACCUUUUUUUAACUUUGAUAAUGAAAUUAGAUUUUGAUGAUACUGGAAAAUAAAAGAUUUAUUGGAG